RNAcentral lists this long non-coding RNA (1247 nucleotides) under Lynx canadensis (Canada lynx). RNAcentral's name for it is "lncRNA (ENSLCNG00005002097.1)". The record is from RNAcentral. Lineage: Eukaryota; Metazoa; Chordata; Mammalia; Carnivora; Felidae.
CACACACACAGAGGCCCCACACCUGCCGUCACACACAACUCUCCACUAGCUCACACCCAGCCACACCCCAGACCAGUCUGGCGGGACAGUUAGACUGCCACACCUCAGAGGGACAUAGCCCUCAGGGAUGGGGACGCUGGACAGGGCAGCACAUGUCUAGUGCCAGCCGCCCCUCCCUUCAAACCACACCCUGUCCCUGCAACACCCAGUGUCGGCUGUGCAAGGGGUACCUGCCUUGGCCCCUCUCACCAGAGCCCUGUUCAGGUCUGCCCAGCUGGAGUAGAUGUCCAACAUCGGGGAAACCCCCCCUUGCCUGGACGGAAGCCCGUGUAUGAAUGGAGGUCGCUGCACCAGCGCCCUCCCGGGAGGCUGCCUGCCUGUGAGUGCCUGGCUCCGAGCCAUCAGUGGGUCCUGUGUGGGGAGGUAGUCUGUCUUCUCCUCUGGCCUCUGUGUCCACCAUGGGUGUCUCUACCAUUUCCUACUUGUGUAUGGCUUGGGUAACCUCUUGUUUCCCCACUGGAAUCGAGCAGGGUUAAGAACUGAGUAAGGUUAAGAGCAAGGGCUCUGCAGGCCGCCUGGCCUGGGUUCAAAUCCCACAUCGUGUUGCUCACUGCCUGGGACUCAAACCCUUUAAGCUUCAGUGUCCUUGUCUGGAAAACAGGCACACUAACACCUGCUUCACAGAGUUGUUGGCCGCCUGAGGUCACACGUAAAGCCUCUGAUGGAGGUAGUUAUUAUUCAAUUAACAGAUCUUCAGGGACCAAUCACAGUGGCUUGGCAGUACAGGGUACCCCAGCUGGAUCCUCCCAUAUAUCAACAUUUAGUGGUGGGGGCACAGUGGUGGUCAUGGGGGUGCCAUGACCUUGGGUUAGUCACUUCUCUCUGAAUCUCACUGCAUCUGUGAAAUAGGGGUGCUUCUUUGUGGCUUGUGACCAUGAAGGAUUUCAAGAAUUCGGUUGUUGGAUCAUACAAGGCAAGGCAGAGGGCUGGGAGGAGCAGAGCAGGGUCUGGGAAAGAACUGAGCAGAGGGAGACAGAGCUCAGUUUGAAUUCUGGGCUCCGGGAGGGGCACCUGGGUGGCUCAGUCUGUUAAGCCUCUGACUUUGGCUUAGGUCAGGACCUCCAGGUUCAUGAGUUCAAGCCCUCAUCGGGCUUGGUGCUGACAGCUCAGAGUCUGGAGCCUGCCUGCUUGGCAUUCUGUGUCUCCCUGCCUCUCUCUCUCUCUCUCUCUCUCUCUGCUCCUCCCCC